UGUCGGCUCAUCACAUCCUGGGGCUGAAGUAGGUCCCAAGGGUAUGGCUGUUCGCCAUUUAAAGUGGUACGCGAGCUGGGUUUAGAACGUCGUGAGACAGUUCGGUCCCUAUCUGCCGUGGGCGCUGGAGAACUGAGGGGGGCUGCUCCUAGUACGAGAGGACCAGAGUGGACGCAUCACUGGUGUUCGGGUUGUCAUGCCAAUGGCACUGCCCGGUAGCUAAAUGCGGAAGAGAUAAGUGCUGAAAGCAUCUAAGCACGAAACUUGCCCCGAGAUGAGUUCUCCCUGACCCUUUAAGGGUCCUGAAGGAACGUUGAAGACGACGACGU
Molecule: ribosomal RNA, 329 nt
Filed under: Escherichia fergusonii
Lineage: Bacteria; Pseudomonadati; Pseudomonadota; Gammaproteobacteria; Enterobacterales; Enterobacteriaceae
Description: bacterial LSU rRNA
Rfam family: Bacterial large subunit ribosomal RNA
Source: RNAcentral